RNAcentral lists this ribosomal RNA (804 nucleotides) under uncultured Flavobacteriaceae bacterium. RNAcentral's name for it is "bacterial SSU rRNA". It matches the Rfam family "Bacterial small subunit ribosomal RNA", at positions 47 to 846 of the family's 1533-position model. The record is from RNAcentral. Lineage: Bacteria; Pseudomonadati; Bacteroidota; Flavobacteriia; Flavobacteriales; Flavobacteriaceae.
CCUAACACAUGCAAGUGGAGGGGUAGGAAGUCGGUACUUGCACCGGCUCUGAGACCGGCGCACGGGUGCGUAACGCGUAUGCAAUCUGCCCUCUACAGGGGAAUAGCCCAGGGAAACUUGGAUUAAUGCCCCAUGGUAUCAUUAGACAGCAUUGUCUGAUGAUUAAAGAUUUAUCGGUAGAGGAUGAGCAUGCGUCCCAUUAGCUAGUUGGUAUGGUAACGGCAUACCAAGGCUACGAUGGGUAGGGGCCCUGAGAGGGGGAUCCCCCACACUGGUACUGAGACACGGACCAGACUCCUACGGGAGGCAGCAGUGAGGAAUAUUGGACAAUGGGCGGAAGCCUGAUCCAGCCAUGCCGCGUGCAGGAAGACUGCCCUAUGGGUUGUAAACUGCUUUUUUACGGGAAGAAACACCCCCACGUGUGGGGGCCUGACGGUACCGUAGGAAUAAGCACCGGCUAACUCCGUGCCAGCAGCCGCGGUAAUACGGAGGAUGCAAGCGUUAUCCGGAAUCAUUGGGUUUAAAGGGUCCGUAGGCGGGCGAUUAAGUCAGGGGUGAAAGUCUGCGGCUCAACCGUAGGACUGCCCUUGAUACUGGUUGUCUUGAAUCGUUGUGAAGUGGCUAGAAUGAGCAGUGUAGCGGUGAAAUGCAUAGAUAUUGCUCAGAAUACCAAUUGCGAAGGCAGGUCACUAACAACGUAUUGACGCUGAGGGACGAAAGCGUGGGGAGCGAACAGGAUUAGAUACCCUGGUAGUCCACGCCGUAACGAUGGACACUAGCUGUCCGGCCUUUUUGGCUGGGUGG